NAGGACAUCAUCAUCAUACACAAGGUCUUCCCAGGCAUCCAUCUUAGUCGUUGCUUAAUCUGCAAGAAAAGUGAAANCACACAAGUAUGAGAAGACAUGCAGGGAGAAAACAUAAAUAAUUGUUAUAGUAAAUGACCUUACAAAUAUGCUGAAUUUAUUUCAAUGAUCAUCGUAUUGAGGAUUUAUAUAUAGAAAUUUUUUCAUAUAUUUUUGAUUAAAAUUAAU
RNAcentral lists this long non-coding RNA (225 nucleotides) under Vigna radiata. RNAcentral describes it as "long non-coding RNA (VRAD_LNC009340)". The record is from RNAcentral. Lineage: Eukaryota; Viridiplantae; Streptophyta; Magnoliopsida; Fabales; Fabaceae.